UUGAACUCUCCCCCCGAUAUCGUCUCUCUUCUCCGAUAGCCUCAAAUGGACUAGGGUUUUACGGGAGAAAGAGGAUAACAACAGAUCGAUACUAUUUAGUAGUAUAUACAACGAUUCUCCGCAUCAAUAUACUGAACUAAUCUCUCUGUCUCUGUGUGUUGCAUUCGUCUUGAAAGACUACGGAAAUCAUAGAUUUUGAGGUCCCUCAAAAUGGCGAAUUUGACCAUUACAAACAUACUUGAGAAGAUGACAGGCAAGGACAAGGACUACAGAUAUAUGGCAACUUCUGAUUUGCUAAAUGAGUUAAACAAAGAGGGAUUUAAACUUGACGCUGAGCUUGAAGGGAAGUUAUCAAGCACAGUUUUGCAGCAGCUUGAUGAUGCGGCCGGUGAUGUUUCUGGAUUGGCUGUGAAAUGCCUUGCUCCAUUGGCGAAGAAGGUUCGUGAGCAGCAAGUUCUAGAGAUGACUAAUAGGCUUUGUGAUAAACUUCUUAAUGGAAAAGAACAACAUCGUGAUAUUGCUAGCAUAGCUUUGAAGACUAUUGUAUCUGAAGUUCCUUCAUCGUCUAUUGCUAGAAACGUACUUGUCUCAAUUUCACCAAAGUUAAUAAAAGGGAUCACUGCCCCGGGAAUGAGCACUGAGAUUAAAUGUGAAUGUCUUGACAUACUAUGUGAUGUUCUUCACAAGUA
Molecule: unclassified non-coding RNA, 689 nt
Filed under: Hevea brasiliensis (rubber tree)
Lineage: Eukaryota; Viridiplantae; Streptophyta; Magnoliopsida; Malpighiales; Euphorbiaceae
Source: RNAcentral